GCUGGAAUUGCUAGUAAUGGCAGGUCAGCAUACUGCCGUGAAUACGUUCCCGGGCCUUGUACACACCGCCCGUCACACCAUGAGAGUUGGGAAUACCCGAAGCCUAUGAGCCAACUUUAAAGAGGCAACAGUCGAAGGUAGAAUCAAUGAUUGGGGUGAAGUCGUAACAAGGUAAC
Molecule: ribosomal RNA, 176 nt
Filed under: uncultured bacterium
Lineage: Bacteria
Description: partial 16S ribosomal RNA
Rfam family: Bacterial small subunit ribosomal RNA
Source: RNAcentral